RNAcentral lists this long non-coding RNA (711 nucleotides) under Pan troglodytes (chimpanzee). Its description in RNAcentral is "lncRNA (ENSPTRG00000052989.1)". The record is from RNAcentral. Lineage: Eukaryota; Metazoa; Chordata; Mammalia; Primates; Hominidae.
AAAAUAGGGUUUUCUUAUUUCUUUCCUUUGCAAUAAACAAUUUUCAACAGUAUAAUAGCUUAAAUAGGUGAUUGUGAUGUCACCCUUAGGAUAUAAUCACUGCUUGUUACAUCGUUUCUGUAGAAAAACCAACUCACAUAAGAUGAAAUGUGAUGGGGUGAAAUCAUGGCAGUGUGAUUUUCAAACACCAACUUGCCUUGGAAGGAAAUGUGGGGAUGUGCACUGCUGGAAGCCAUGUGUUCUGAUAUGAGAAGAACUUCUUCAGAAGGUAUCUUAAUGCAUAUGGGGAAACUGAGGCCCAGGGGGCAACUAUUGCAUCCAGGAAAAAAAAAAAAGAAGAUAAUGACUUCUCUGCAACUAAGAUGAAGAUCCACUGAACUUUGGGGUUUGAAAUGCAACGUUAGAACUUCAGACUCCCGGCACCUAGGUCUCCAGCUGCUGGGUGGUGCCAGCAUCAGAGAUACACUCUGCAAAACAUAUACUGUCUUAGGAAAAAGUGACCCUGUUGUCCUUUCAGGCCCAUAUUCCACAGAAGACAAAUGGAGAUGUAAAAGGAAAACUGCAGCUCUGAGUUAAGAGAGAGCAAGUUGUCUGUUCUGAUACAGCCAGGAAAUAAGAUGUUCUGGUUAAUAUGUGCUAAAGAUGUGGUGCUGACUUUCCGACUCAGAAUAUGAUCACAUGUUUUUCUCAUUAAAACUAUAUUGAAUGUUA